GGGACGUGAGUGUGAGUUCUGAUUGCCUGUGUGCCCCGCAACUCCCGGCUUCAACGCAUCACUGUGCUUUUUCGUAAACGUCAGCAGCGAUUGUCCUCAGAGCUGCAUUAAAUUAAAUUGAUCUGCUCCUGCUCAAUAUGCCGCAGUAAUACCGUUAGGCUGGCCCGGCACUUGUAAUGGCGAGAUGUAAGUUGGUCAGUCGCUAGGUCACAUCUUCCACAGCAUGAAACUCGGAGGGAGGAAAGACGUUGUUUCGCGAUGAUGGUGGAAGGAGAUCUGUUGCCAUCAUCAUCAUCAUCGUACAUGUACAAUACGAUGAUGGCAUAUCGUCACACAUGCAAAACCUAGGCGACAAGCUCUCCUGUUUUGCUGAGCAAGCUGCCGCUCUACACACCAGGUUCAGGCCAAACAAAAUCCAGCCUCACCUCCUAUCGGGUUACAACUCCCUUCGGAUGCCAUUACGUCUCUAGAAGGUGGUACCUCUGCUCCAAAAAAGGAUACAGCCCUGCACCCCCCUCGACCCGUGUGGAACCCAGCACAUUCCAACCACCCGUCCUACCGUCCAUCGGUAUCUGUCAAUCUGUCCGUCUGUCUGUCCAUCUGUCUGUAGCCGUGUUUCCCAACUACCUGUGUUUUAUGCCGACCCCCAGCCAGCCUAAGUUGGCAGGUAUGCGGCUCGACAUUUAAUGUAUACGACCCUUGCCUACGGAACCAG
This 715-nucleotide long non-coding RNA is filed under the name Volvox carteri. Its description in RNAcentral is "long non-coding RNA (VCAR_LNC001996)". Lineage: Eukaryota; Viridiplantae; Chlorophyta; Chlorophyceae; Chlamydomonadales; Volvocaceae. The record is from RNAcentral.